This 554-nucleotide ribosomal RNA is filed under the name uncultured bacterium. RNAcentral's name for it is "partial 16S ribosomal RNA". It matches the Rfam family "Bacterial small subunit ribosomal RNA", at positions 355 to 900 of the family's 1533-position model. The record is from RNAcentral.
UAGGGAAUCUUCGGCAAUGGACGAAAGUCUGACCGAGCAACGCCGCGUGAGUGAAGAAGGUUUUCGGAUCGUAAAACUCUGUUGGUAGAGAAGAACGUUGGUGAGAGUGGAAAGCUCAUCAAGUGACGGUAACUACCCAGAAAGGGACGGCUAACUACGUGCCAGCAGCCGCGGUAAUACGUAGGUCCCGAGCGUUGUCCGGAUUUAUUGGGCGUAAAGCGAGCGCAGGUGGUUUAUUAAGUCUGGUGUAAAAGGCAGUGGCUCAACCAUUGUAUGCAUUGGAAACUGGUAGACUUGAGUGCAGGAGAGGAGAGUGGAAUUCCAUGUGUAGCGGUGAAAUGCGUAGAUAUAUGGAGGAACACCGGUGGCGAAAGCGGCUCUCUGGCCUGUAACUGACACUGAGGCUCGAAAGCGUGGGGAGCAAACAGGAUUAGAUAGCCCUGGUAGUCCACGCGUAAACGAUGAGUGCUAGAUGUAGGGAGCUAUAAGUUCUCUGUAUCGCAGCUAACGCAAUAAGCACUCCGCCUGGGGGAGUACGACCGCAAGGUUGAAAC